UGGGGAAUAUUGGACAAUGGGCGAAAGCCUGAUCCAGCCAUGCCGCGUGAGUGACGAAGGCCUUAGGGUUGUAAAACUCUUUCGUCGGGGACGAUAAUGACGGUACCCGAAGAAGAAGCUCCGGCUAACUUCGUGCCAGCAGCCGCGGUAAUACGAAGGGGGCUAGCGUUGUUCGGAAUCACUGGGCGUAAAGCGCACGUAGGCGGAUAGUUAAGUCAGGGGUGAAAUCCUGGGGCUCAACCCCAGAACUGCCUUUGAUACUGGCUGUCUCGAGGUCGAGAGAGGUUGGUGGAAUUCCUAGUGUAGAGGUGAAAUUCGUAGAUAUUAGGAAGAACACCAGUGGCGAAGGCGGCCAACUGGCUCGAUACUGACGCUGAGGUGCGAAAGCGUGGGGAGCAAACAGGAUUAGAUACCCCCGUAGUCCCUGAGCGGGCUGGCAAGGCGCAU
RNAcentral lists this ribosomal RNA (447 nucleotides) under uncultured bacterium. RNAcentral describes it as "bacterial SSU rRNA". It matches the Rfam family "Bacterial small subunit ribosomal RNA", at positions 355 to 825 of the family's 1533-position model. The record is from RNAcentral.